Molecule: ribosomal RNA, 253 nt
Filed under: uncultured bacterium
Lineage: Bacteria
Description: partial 16S ribosomal RNA
Rfam family: Bacterial small subunit ribosomal RNA
Source: RNAcentral
UACAGAGGUGGCAAGCGUUGUUCGGAAUUACUGGGCGUAAAGGGCGCGUAGGCGGCCUUCUAAGUCAGACGUGAAAUCUCCGGGCUUAACUCGGAAAGGUCAACUGAUACUGUGCGACUAGAGUGCGGAAGGGGCAACUGGAAUUCUCGGUGUAGCGGUGAAAUGCGUAGAUAUCGAGAGGAACACCUGCGGCGAAGGCGGGUUGCUGGGCCGACACUGACGCUGAUGCGCGAAAGCCAGGGGAGCGAACGGG